AGUGAACGCUGGCGGUAGGCCUAACACAUGCAAGUCGAACGGCAGCACAGUAAGAGCUUGCUCUUACGGGUGGCGAGUGGCGGACGGGUGAGGAAUACAUCGGAAUCUACUUUUUCGUGGGGGGUAACGUAGGGAAACUUACGCUAAUACCGCAUACGACCUACGGGUGAAAGCAGGGGAUCUUCGGACCUUGCGCGAUUGAAUGAGCCGAUGUCGGAUUAGCUAGUUGGCGGGGUAAAGGCCCACCAAGGCGACGAUCCGUAGCUGGUCUGAGAGGAUGAUCAGCCACACUGGAACUGAGACACGGUCCAGACUCCUACGGGAGGCAGCAGUGGGGAAUAUUGGACAAUGGGCGAAAGCCUGAUCCAGCAAUACCGCGUGGGUGAAGAAGGCCUUCGGGUUGUAAAGCCCUUUUGUUGGGAAAGAAAAGCAGCAGGUUAAUACCCCGCUGUUCUGACGGUACCCAAAGAAUAAGCACCGGCUAACUUCGUG
This 492-nucleotide ribosomal RNA is filed under the name uncultured bacterium. RNAcentral's name for it is "partial 16S ribosomal RNA". It matches the Rfam family "Bacterial small subunit ribosomal RNA", at positions 29 to 507 of the family's 1533-position model. The record is from RNAcentral.